UUUUUUUAAGUCUGAUGUGAAAGCCUUCGGCUCAACCGAAGAAGUGCAUCGGAAACUGGGAAACUGAGUGCAGAAGAGGACAGUGGAACUCCAUGUGUAGCGGUGAAAUGCGUAGAUAUAUGGAAGAACACCAGUGGCGAAGGCGGCUGUCUGGUCUGUAACUGACGCUGAGGCUCGAAAGUAUGGGUAGCAAACAGGAUUAGAUACCCUGGUAGUCCAUACCGUAAACGAUGAAUGCUAAGUGUUGGAGGGUUUCCGCCCUUCAGUGCUGCAGCUAACGCAUUAAGCAUUCCGCCUGGGGAGUACGGCCGCAAGGCUGAAACUCAAAGGAAUUGACGGGGGCCCGCACAAGCGGUGGAGCAUGUGGUUUAAUUCGAAGCUACGCGAAGAACCUUACCAGGUCUUGACAUACUAUGCAAAUCUAAGAGAUUAGACGUUCCCUUCGGGGACAUGGAUACAGGUGGUGCAUGGUUGUCGUCAGCUCGUGUCGUGAGAUGUUGGGUUAAGUCCCGCAACGAGCGCAACCCUUAUUAUCAGUUGCCAGCAUUAAGUUGGGCACUCUGGUGAGACUGCCGGUGACAAACCGGAGGAAGGUGGGGAUGACGUCAAAUCAUCAUGCCCCUUAUGACCUGGGCUACACACGUGCUACAAUGGAUGGUACAACGAGUUGCGAACUCGCGAGAGUAAGCUAAUCUCUUAAAGCCAUUCUCAGUUCGGAUUGUAGGCUGCAACUCGCCUACAUGAAGUCGGAAUCGCUAGUAAUCGCGGAUCAGCAUGCCGCGGUGAAUACGUUCCCGGGCCUUGUACACACCGCCCGUCACACCAUGAGAGUUUGUAACACCCAAAGUCGGUGGGGUAACCUUUAGGAACC
This 871-nucleotide ribosomal RNA is filed under the name Lactiplantibacillus plantarum. RNAcentral's name for it is "bacterial SSU rRNA". It matches the Rfam family "Bacterial small subunit ribosomal RNA", at positions 578 to 1450 of the family's 1533-position model. Lineage: Bacteria; Bacillati; Bacillota; Bacilli; Lactobacillales; Lactobacillaceae. The record is from RNAcentral.